Molecule: long non-coding RNA, 3357 nt
Organism: Lepidothrix coronata (blue-crowned manakin)
Lineage: Eukaryota; Metazoa; Chordata; Aves; Passeriformes; Pipridae
Exons: 3
Source: RefSeq, a predicted model, not a curated record
AACAUGGAUCUGUUCCGGAGAUAAAGCAGCACUGAGGAGGAUUGGUGGAUGCUAACUGCAGUUGUUGAGAAGAUGCAAGGUUGUGUUUUCCUUCUCAAAAGAUCACAGCCUGCUCAUUCUUUCCAUGGCUCAUGAAGGUGACAAGAUGGGACAACUGAAGGAACACAUUUGUGAAGUUACCUGCUCAAAGCCGUAACAGACGCCAAUGAUAAAUCCAGGAACAGAAGCCCAAGUUGCGGCCUAACACCAUCAACAAGCCAAUGUAACCAACAAGAAAGUUUGUCUUUUGAUGUUAUUGCAAUACCUAUAUAUUAUAUAUAGGUUAUACCAUAGCAAUACCUAUACAUUAAUAAUUUACCCAAGACGAACACAUUUGAGUAUGUAUAUUUGCCUAUGUUCUUGUAAAUAAUUCAAAAGGUUUCUUUGAGUUCUAAUUCUGAAUUUAAUAUCUAAUAUAUAUAUAUAUGUAUAAGAUAACUGGGCAAUUUUCCACAACAAUUUAUUCAUAAGUCAUGAUUAAAACAUACAGUUUAGAGUCCAACUUUAGGGUCUUCAGGGUUCGGAGCAUCUUACACUUCAGCUUGCCUUUAUAGAAGACAGUAGAUGGUUUGCAGCUCAGGAAAAGGAAAUAAAGUUGUAUAUUGUUCUUAGCAUUGGAAAUCACUUUUAGAAAUAUUUCUGUGUGUUGGAAGCACCAAAAGCUCGUGUCUGACUGUGGUUUAGCUGUAGGGGAGGCUAUGGCAAUGGACCCAGGCAGCAGAGGAGCUAUGAUUAUGGAAGCCCAUUAGAGAGCCUAAUGCUGCCUGGUGUAUUGAGCAGUAUCGGACAGUUUUGGCAAAGGUACAACUUGCUUUCUGUCUCUUGUGGCUGUGUCCUCCUAUCCUGAGUCAGGAACAUGUGCACAAUACUUCUUUGUGAGAUGCUGAUCUUUUGGGAUGUUAAGCACCAAUAGUUGCAUUAGCAGCUGGUUUUACUUGCAGUCGAGGCUUUGAAGCAGCACAGCAGCUUUUUGCAUAGGGUAGGGAGUGUUUCCUUCUAGCUUUCACUUCAAUCUGACAUUUUAGUGCUGUGGCUUCCCAAAAUAGGGCUAGUGUCCAACACUGAAACACCAUGGAAGCAUUGUCUUAGUAGUAAGUAGCUUUGUGGUUUAUUAAGAGCAAAUAUUAAAUCAGAUUGGAAAAAUAUAUUACUUCUACAAAAUACUCCUUAUAGGACCUUUACAGUUUUCACAUCUUUAUUUUCAAUAGUUGGCCUGGACACAGGUGAUGAGCAUGCUCAGACAAUGUGUCAGGUUAGCUGCAAUCAAACCCAUAAAGUGUCUGCAAUUCAUCCAUGCUUCUCCCACCAGCAGGUGUCAUUCUGGAAAAAGGAAAAUAUUGUAAAUUUCUGAACUGGAGAAUUUGGCUGUGACAAAGAAGAGAAAAAGUUUACUUAAAAUAUGGCUUUUGAAGGAUAUUUUAUUCCAAAUUAAAACCCGAAGAAAGCUGGCUCGUCUGCAUUUUUUAAUAAUCUAUGUGCAGUGAGUUAUCCUGACCUAUAAGUAACAAAGGGCAGACAACUGGUAAGGCAAACCAAUGUCUGCUUAAAGCUAUCUUCUGCUUUUUAUUGUUCUCUGUGACAUGUUUAACACUGCUUACUUACCCCCCAAGACUAUAAAAUCAGUGAUAUUCAUCAAUCUUCCCAAAGGAAAAAAAGAAUUAGAUGUUGAAUUCAGCUCUCAUUUACUUCAAUGUAAACUUGAAGAAAUCUCAUUGAAGCAACUGAAAUCAGUAGAAAUGUUUGGAAUUUAGUCUGAAGUAACCAAAAGAAAGUAGCAUUUAACUUUCUACUCCAUAAAUGAGCCUCAAGCAGAAAAUAAUCUCUUAUAACAUUUAUGCUUUCUUUUAAAUGUUCAUCUGGGUAUUAGCUGCAACCUCCUUUAAUAUCUAGAGACUUUUUGAUUUCCCUUAAUCACAGUGAGAGAGCUAUAGCUGAGUUGUAAAGAACCAAGACCCUGCUGGUUCAUUGUGAGGGUUCCUGAUAUACGAAGUCUAGUUUUCUGGCUGUUAAAAACAAACUUUCUGUGAAAUUCAUGCAGGAGGUGCCUUGCCCACCCUAUAGGCUACUAAAAGUUUGUUCCAACCCAUCAUAGCUCUGAUGAUUAUAAAUAUUUUUCUGUCUUUCUGUCUUCUAAAUUUAUCCAGACCCCUUGUAUCUAUAUUGUCCUUUUGCAUUAGUUUUUUCUCCUACCAUUUACAUCACCAUGUAGCUGAGAGGUUUGGGCCCAAGCACUCUAGGCUGAACAAAUACAGUUUGCAUAGUUUUCUUCCAGAAGCUCAUUUCCAAUUCCCUGGCAUUACUUUAAGUUAAAUUUAUCUACUUUAAAUAGGCAAGCAGAAAUGUGCAUCCUUUGUUGUUUCCCUGUAUACAACAUUAAUGCAACAGCUUCCACACCCUUCUAGAAAUACUUCACCUGGUAGGUCUUAGCCCUGUAUCUGAUUUCUUUCUGGUAAAUUCAUCACCAUCAUCUUCCAUUUGACUAGUUCAGCCAGGCUUAUCUUCUCCUUAGCCAUUUCUAGAAGUGUUACUAUAAAGGAUAGUUUGCUACUAUGAUGUGAUGCUCCACCAAAACUCUUCUUGGAAUUAAAGGGAAAUUUGCUUGAGGAAAAAUAUGAGAACAAGCUCCAAGGCUUGGCUGCAAGGAGCACAUUGAAGUGGGAAUCAAUUUUACAUUUAUAAAAUUUGUAUUUGCAACAAAGUAACGUAAAAUAAUUGUACUGCAGGCAGCCAUGUCUUUUCCAAGAUAUUAUUUAACUAUGAAUGUCACAGUGCUUCUCCUGUGAACAGUAUCAAGCACUCAGUGGCUGAAUGGGAAAAAAUAGUACAUAGACUUAGAAUUAAAAACUUCACUCUAAAAUAGCUAAAAGCUGUAUUCUUAGAUUUGCAUGAAGCCUGUAUUACUAUUUUCUGACUUUUUGAGUUUUUAACUUUGAAAUGUAGUGGUAUUCUAAAAUUUCAAGUCAGAAAGUAUAAAAGUAUUGUGAAUGUGACUAGUUUAUUACGAACUUUAUAGGAUCAAGAUAACAAGCAGUGAUGAUCUCCAGCAGGUUUUUUACAGUAAAGGAUGAGAUUUAUACAACAAUUUCUUUAUAGUUUUUACUAAUUUUUCCAUGUUUUUAGCUAAGUGAAAUAAUAUAAAAUUCUGUUUAGUCUCUUUUGGUUUUUAAUUUUAGUGUUUUAUUUUACUAAUUUUAGAAAAAAAUGAGCAUGCCUAAACAUAGACCUCCUGUGCCAUUUUAGAGCCCUGGGGGAUCCCACCUGGUCUCUCACUGCCAGUUAAAAGUGUGGUCUUUUGUCAAAGGUCAAAAGUCUCCUGUA